RNAcentral lists this ribosomal RNA (492 nucleotides) under uncultured bacterium. RNAcentral describes it as "partial 16S ribosomal RNA". It matches the Rfam family "Bacterial small subunit ribosomal RNA", at positions 29 to 507 of the family's 1533-position model. The record is from RNAcentral.
AAUGAACGCUGGCGGUAUGCCUAACACAUGCAAGUCGAACGGCAGCACAGUAGUGGCUUGCUCUUACGAGGUUCGAGUGGCAGACGGGUGUAGAAUACAGCGGAAUCUACUUUUUCGUGGGGGAAAACGUAGGGAAACUUACGCUAAUACCGCAUACGACCUGCGUGUGAAAACAGAAUAUCUUCAGACCUUGCUCGAGUGAAUGAUCCGAUGUCGGAUUAGCUAGUUGGCGGGGUAAAGGCUCACCAAGGCGACGAUCCGUAGCUGGUCUGAGAGGAUGAUCAGCCACACUGGAACUGAGACACGGCCCAGACUCCUACGGGAGGCAGCAGUGGGGAAUAUUGGACAAUGGGCGAAAGCCUGACCCAGCCAUACCGCGUGGGUGAAGAAGGCCUUCGGGUUGUAAAGCUCUUUUGUUGGGAAAGAAAAGGAGCAGGUUAAUAUCCAGCUGUUCUGACGGUACCCAACGAAUAAGCACCGGCUAACUUCGUG